RNAcentral lists this ribosomal RNA (1209 nucleotides) under uncultured bacterium. RNAcentral's name for it is "bacterial SSU rRNA". It matches the Rfam family "Bacterial small subunit ribosomal RNA", at positions 36 to 1275 of the family's 1533-position model. The record is from RNAcentral.
CUAGCGGCGUGCCUAAUGCAUGCAAGUCGAACGGGAACCUUUAGAUUCGUCUGAAGGGGAGAGUGGCGAACGGGUGAGUAACACGUUGGUGACCUACCCCAGAGAGGGGGAUAACCAUUGGAAACGAUGGCUAAUACCCCGGAUGUCCCUACUGUUAGAGAGUAGUGACUAAAGCUCCGGCGCUCUGGGAGGGGCCUGCGGCCCAUCAGCUUGUUGGUAGGGUAAUGGCCUACCAAGGCAAAGACGGGUAGGGGACGUGAGAGCGUGACCCCCCACACUGGUACUGAUACACGGACCAGAUACCUACGGGUAGCAGCAGCAAGGAAUAUUGCCCAAUGGACGAAAGUCUGAGGCAGCAACGCCGCGUGGAGGAUGAAGGCCUUCGGGUCGUAAACUCCUUUUCUGGGGGAAGAGAAAGGACGGUACCCCAGGAAUAAGUCUCGGCUAACUACGUGCCAGCAGCCGCGGUAAAACGUAGGAGGCGAGCGUUAUCCGGAUUUACUGGGCGUAAAGCGCGUGCAGGCGGUUUCUUAAGUCGGACGUGAAAGCUCCUGGCUCAACUGGGGGAGGUCGUUCGAAACUAGGGAACUUGAGGAUGGUAGAGGAGAGUGGAAUUCCCGGUGUAGUGGUGAAAUGCGUAGAUAUCGGGAGGAACACCAGUGGCGAAGGCGGCUCUCUGGGCUAUUCCUGACGCUAAGACGCGAAAGCUAGGGGAGAGAAUGGGAUUAGAAACCCCGGUAUUCCUAGCCGUAAACGAUGUCAACUAGGUGUAGAGGGUAUCCAACCCCCCUGUGCUGUAGCUAACGCGUUAAGUUGACCGCCUGGGGACUACGGCCGCAAGGCUAAAACUCAAAGGAAUUGACGGGGACCCGCACAAGCAGCGGAGCGUGUGGUUUAAUUCGAGGCUACGCGAAGAACCUUACCAGGGUUUGACAUGUCGGUGGUAGAAAGGCGAAAGCCGAUCGACCCUUCGGGGUGCCGUCACAGGUGCUGCAUGGCUGUUGUCAGCUCGUGCCGUGAGGUGUUAGGUUAAGUCCUGUAACGAGCGCAACCCUCGUCGUUAGUUACAUGUGUCUAACGAGACUGCCGGGAUAAGCCGGAGGAAGGUGGGGAUGACGUCAAGUCAGCAUGGCCUUUAUAUCCUGGGCUACACACACGCUACAAUGGCCGGUACAAUGGGUCGCGAAGCCGCGAGGCGAAACCAAUCCC